Long non-coding RNA from Gossypium raimondii (Peruvian cotton), 916 nucleotides. RefSeq lists it as uncharacterized. The record is from RefSeq and is a predicted model, not a curated record. The transcript has 2 exons. Lineage: Eukaryota; Viridiplantae; Streptophyta; Magnoliopsida; Malvales; Malvaceae.
GUGAUUAAGGCUGUGUUCUUCAUUGCUUAAAGAUGGGCUUUUACCUGGAAAACUGCUUUUCUUUGAAAAGAAAUAAAGAACAGCAUUCAUUUAGUAGCAAAUUCUCAACUUAUUAGAAGUAAAUUUUUUUAGCUUUUCAGCCCAGAAGUGCUUUUGGGCUGGUUGUUUUACUUUUUUAGCUACACGAACACCCUUCUUCGCUCUCUGCUCUCUGCUGGUUCUUUGUUUCUCUGCUCUCUGCUACGCUGGUUCUUUGCCCUCUGCUGGUUUGUUCUGCCCUCUGCUGGUUCUUUGUUCCUCUGCCCUCUACCGAAUAAGACUAUUGGCAAGAUUAGUGAACUGAGGCAGGCCAAUGGGGACCUUGCAAACAAAGUUAACAUACUGCAGAAGAGUAGAUUUGACAUGGUUGAGGAACCAGUGUACCAACGUUGGCUUAAUGUUUGCUUGAGGGCUGAAAUCAAAGAAUAUCAAACAUCAUCAAGAAAGACAUCGGAAAAAGGAAGUUCAGAAGGCUUCAGACCAGAAAACUAGCAAGAUAAUUACACAAUACCCCGACACGAGCAGCACUUGGUCAUAUACCACAUUGACUGAUAGUGAAGAGAUAGAUAGUAGCACCAUUGAUAGCUCUUCAAGUAGCCAGAGAAGCAUUAGCAAGAAUUCUAGCACAUGUUGGAGAAGCAUGGAUGACGGUUCUAGUGUUGUUUCAUCACCAAACAAGUCCUCCACUGGAAGUCCUGCGGACAGAACUGGCAUCAUACGCAGGUUUUCUACUUCAAUGUUUCCUUCAAAGGAACUUACUGAAACUAUGGAAUUGCCAAAUCUUACAAAAGUAAGGCGAGUUAUGUAAUAUUUGAUAUAUAAAUAUUAUCCCUUUUUAAAACUUCAAUCCAAAUAUAUGUAAUAUUUUAAUUUAUUA